GACGAACCCCGUUAAGAGUGCUUAACACAUGCAAGUCGAACGGAAAGGCCCUGCUUUUGUGGGGUGCUCGAGUGGCGAACGGGUGAGUAACACGUGAGUAACCUGCCCUUGACUUUGGGAUAACUUCAGGAAACUGGGGCUAAUACCGGAUAGGAGCUCCUGCUGCAUGGUGGGGGUUGGAAAGUUUCGGCGGUUGGGGAUGGACUCGCGGCUUAUCAGCUUGUUGGUGGGGUAGUGGCUUACCAAGGCUUUGACGGGUAGCCGGCCUGAGAGGGUGACCGGCCACAUUGGGACUGAGAUACGGCCCAGACUCCUACGGGAGGCAGCAGUGGGGAAUAUUGCACAAUGGGCGGAAGCCUGAUGCAGCAACGCCGCGUGCGGGAUGACGGCCUUCGGGUUGUAAACCGCUUUCGCCUGUGACGAAGCGUGAGUGACGGUAAUGGGUAAAGAAGCACCGGCUAACUACGUGCCAGCAGCCGCGGUGAUACGUAGGGUGCGAGCGUUGUCCGGAUUUAUUGGGCGUAAAGGGCUCGUAGGUGGUUGAUCGCGUCGGAAGUGUAAUCUUGGGGCUUAACCCUGAGCGUGCUUUCGAUACGGGUUGACUUGAGGAAGGUAGGGGAGAAUGGAAUUCCUGGUGGAGCGGUGGAAUGCGCAGAUAUCAGGAGGAACACCAGUGGCGAAGGCGGUUCUCUGGGCCUUUCCUGACGCUGAGGAGCGAAAGCGUGGGGAGCGAACAGGCUUAGAUACCCUGGUAGUCCACGCUGUAAACGGUGGGUACUAGGUGUGGGGUCCAUUCCACGGGUUCCGUGCCGUAGCUAACGCUUUAAGUACCCCGCCUGGGGAGUACGGCCGCAAGGCUAAAACUCAAAGGAAUUGACGGGGCCCCGCACAAGCGGCGGAGCAUGCGGAUUAAUUCGAUGCAACGCGUAGAACCUUACCUGGGUUUGACAUGGAUCGGGAGUGCUCAGAGAUGGGUGUGCCUCUUUUGGGGUCGGUUCACAGGUGGUGCAUGGCUGUCGUCAGCUCGUGUCGUGAGAUGUUGGGUUAAGUCCCGCAACGAGCGCAACCCUUGUUCACUGUUGCCAGCACGUUAUGGUGGGGACUCAGUGGAGACCGCCGGGGUCAACUCGGAGGAAGGUGGGGAUGACGUCAAGUCAUCAUGCCCCUUAUGUCCAGGGCUUCACGCAUGCUACAAUGGCUGGUACAGAGAGUGGCGAGCCUGUGAGGGUGAGCGAAUCUCGGAAAGUCGGUCUCAGUUCGGAUUGGGGUCUGCAACUCGACCUCAUGAAGUCGGAGUCGCUAGUAAUCGCAGAUCAGCAACGCUGCGGUGAAUACGUUCCCGGGGCU
Molecule: ribosomal RNA, 1347 nt
Filed under: uncultured bacterium
Lineage: Bacteria
Description: bacterial SSU rRNA
Rfam family: Bacterial small subunit ribosomal RNA
Source: RNAcentral